Molecule: ribosomal RNA, 450 nt
Filed under: uncultured bacterium
Lineage: Bacteria
Description: partial 16S ribosomal RNA
Rfam family: Bacterial small subunit ribosomal RNA
Source: RNAcentral
GUGGGGAAUUUUGGACAAUGGGCGCAAGCCUGAUCCAGCAAUGCCGCGUGCAGGAAGAAGGCCUUCGGGUUGUAAACUGCUUUUGUACGGAACGAAACGGUCCUGGCUAAUAUCCGGGGCUAAUGACGGUACCGUAAGAAUAAGCACCGGCUAACUACGUGCCAGCAGCCGCGGUAAUACGUAGGGUGCAAGCGUUAAUCGGAAUUACUGGGCGUAAAGCGUGCGCAGGCGGUGCUGUAAGACAGGCGUGAAAUCCCCGGGCUUAACCUGGGAAUUGCGCUUGUGACUGCAGUGCUGGAGUGCGGCAGAGGGGGAUGGAAUUCCGCGUGUAGCAGUGAAAUGCGUAGAUAUGCGGAGGAACACCGAUGGCGAAGGCAAUCCCCUGGGCCUGCACUGACGCUCAUGCACGAAAGCGUGGGGAGCAAACAGGAUUAGAUACCCGGGUAGUCC